UUUGGUGAGAGAAAGAAUCAGAGAUUGGAUCUUAUGACCAAUUCUUCUGGAAUGCACAUGUGGAAAAUAUCCAAAUAUUCUUGAGGGGCAGUCUUCACUUGUUCCCUCAGCCUGCAAGAAAUGCACAUUAAUAGCGGCUUCUUCCCUGAGGAAGGUUUUGAACUGGAGUACUUGAGAAGAAACUUACAACAGAGCAGCCUAAAGUGCCACCCAGUCCCUUUUAAUUAGCACAUAGCAGACCUCUUACAUUUUUGUUGGCUGCUAACGUACUAAGCGUUUUUUGGCAGCAUGCGGUUCUGGAUUGAAGCCAUGCAUGCAAGUCUUCCACAUUGUGCUCUUUUCCCAGCAUGUUCCCCAGGACAUUGGAAGAAGAGAAAAGCUGAAUCAGUUUGGAAAAACAUAAAUAUUUCUGAACGUGUGGACAGUUCUCACUUCUCAUGUGUGGGAGGAAUAUUUCACUGCCCUCCUACCCAUCACUCAAAUGUCCCGAUCAAGUUAUUGAAAUAAAUUAUCUUAAAGAAUAAUUAUCUGACAAGAAUUCUUUUCCUGUCUCAAAAAGCACAUCUACUACCCUAUAAGCUUUUUUACCUACAUAGCUUACACACAGGCUGAUUUCAAUAAAUAAACUGGAUGAUGCCUAAAU
Long non-coding RNA from Zonotrichia albicollis (white-throated sparrow), 643 nucleotides. RefSeq lists it as uncharacterized. The record is from RefSeq and is a predicted model, not a curated record. NCBI's taxonomy places the organism in Eukaryota, Metazoa, Chordata, Aves, Passeriformes, Passerellidae.